GUGGGGAAUCUUGCGCAAUGGGCGAAAGCCUGACGCAGCCAUGCCGCGUGAAUGAUGAAGGUCUUAGGAUUGUAAAAUUCUUUCACCGGGGACGAUAAUGACGGUACCCGGAGAAGAAGCCCCGGCUAACUUCGUGCCAGCAGCCGCGGUAAUACGAAGGGGGCUAGCGUUGCUCGGAAUUACUGGGCGUAAAGGGCGCGUAGGCGGACAGUUUAGUCAGAGGUGAAAGCCCAGGGCUCAACCUUGGAAUUGCCUUUGAUACUGGCUGUCUUGAGUACGGGAGAGGUGAGUGGAACUCCGAGUGUAGAGGUGAAAUUCGUAGAUAUUCGGAAGAACACCAGUGGCGAAGGCGACUCACUGGCCCGUUACUGACGCUGAGGCGCGAAAGCGUGGGGAGCAAACAGGAUUAUAAACCCGUGUAGUCC
RNAcentral lists this ribosomal RNA (425 nucleotides) under uncultured bacterium. RNAcentral describes it as "partial 16S ribosomal RNA". It matches the Rfam family "Bacterial small subunit ribosomal RNA", at positions 354 to 796 of the family's 1533-position model. The record is from RNAcentral.